Microcebus murinus (gray mouse lemur) is the source of this 504-nucleotide non-coding RNA. NCBI's taxonomy places the organism in Eukaryota, Metazoa, Chordata, Mammalia, Primates, Cheirogaleidae. The record is from RefSeq and is a predicted model, not a curated record.
GUAGGUUCUAGGGCAGAAAACUGCUUUGUCUUACUCCUGAAUCAAAAGAAAGCAGAAACCUAGGCCAGAAUUAUUUAUAGCACAUAUGCGAAUUUACAUAUCAGACAAUAUUUUCAAAAGCAGGCCGGGCGGGAGCGGGGGCGCGGGCCCUGCGCCCUCGCGCGCCGCGUGGCGAUUCCUGAGGCGCGGCCUGGACUUGCACAACGACGCCGGCGAGCUCGUGGACCUGUAAGCCGCGGAAAUGCUCCGCCACAACCAUCAUCGGUGCCAAGGACCACGCGUCCAUCCAGAUGAACGUGGCUGAGGUCGACAAGGUUACCGGCAGAUUCAAGGGCCAAUUCAACACCUACGCCAUCUGCCGGGCCAUCCGCAGGAUGGGUGAGUCAGAUGAUUCCAUCCUCCGAUUGGCCAAGGCCGACGGCAUUGUUUCAAAGAAUUUCUGACUGGAGAGAAUCACAGAUGUGGAAAAUAUACCAUAAAUAAAUAGUGAAAACCCAAAAAUAA